This 468-nucleotide ribosomal RNA is filed under the name Trigonopterus vicinus. Its description in RNAcentral is "partial large subunit ribosomal RNA". Lineage: Eukaryota; Metazoa; Arthropoda; Insecta; Coleoptera; Curculionidae. The record is from RNAcentral.
UGAUUUCAAGUYUGACCUGCCCGCUGAGAGGUUGAAUGGCCGCGGUAUAUUGACCGUGCAAAGGUAGCAUAGUCAUUAGUUUUUUAAUUGAAAGCUUGUAUGAAGGGUUUGAUAAGAAAGAGUCUGUCUCUGGAUAAUUUUGUUAGAAUUUUAUUUUUAAGUUAAAAAGCUUAAAUUUUUAUAGAAGACGAGAAGACCCUGUAGAGUUUUAUAAGUAGAUAAAUAGUUGAUUGAUUAUUAGGGAUUGUUUUUAAAUUUGUAUGUACUUAUUUUUUUGGGGUGAAGGGAAAAUUUGAUUAACUUUUUUUUUAUUAAAAUAUUUAUUUGUAAGUUUAUGAUCCUUUAUUUAGAUUAGAAGAACAAACUACCUCAGGGAUAACAGCGUAAUUGUUUUUAGAGUUCUUAUCGAAAAAAUAGAUUGCGACCUCGAUGUUGGAUUAAAAUUAAUUACUGGUGUAGCAGCUAGUA